GAUAAAUUUGUCAAACAAAAGUUUAAUAUGAAGAUAACAAACAAAUCUCCCGAUGGCGUCAUUUUAAAAAUCGAGCUAGGUUGAAUGUCAUUUUGACCAAACGAUGAAUAUGAUGAUUACAGGAUUCCAAAUUUCUUCUUCUUCUUCGUUCUUAAAAACCCUAAUCUCCAUUCCCUUAUUGGAGCUUUCUAUUCUGUAAUGUAUUCUCCGAUUCGAAGCCAUGUCUGACUCUAAAUCGCCGCCGCCGAUUUGGUCCAUAGUAACUCGAUCCGUUUGGUUUUACAAUCUGGAGUGUUGAGUUCGAGCUGAUGGGGUCCAUCAUAGACGACUUGCCGCCGAUUUGGUGAUCCACUGGUACUCCUAAAUCUGUUGAUCGAUCACUGAUUGGAUGUUGAUAGGAUAGUGGAGGUUGUGAGAUUAUAGGUCAUAUCAAGGCCGCCUAGCUUUCUGGUUAUGAAAGUCUACACAGGGAUGUUGACUAUAGCCUGAAAGAUUGUUUCUCAUUUUUCAGCACCCUUCUAGGGAGCAGAGUCAUAUUCGAAGAGAAGCGACGGAGGCUAUUUGGGCUAACAGAGAUUCUUAAGGUAGUUUUUCCCCUUUUGUUUUGGAAGAGUAUUUAUAUUUAACAUGGCAGGUUUGAUGCAGAGAAAUCCAUUCUGCUCUACUCCCAGAUGGUGUUACAAGUAGAGGUAGAUGUGAAUUCACGUCUUCCUCAGCUUAUUCUUUUUAAAAAGUCAUUUUGGUUAAAAUACCAUUCCGUACCUUGGUUUUUGUUUCUUAAUUUCAGUCCAUAAAUUUCCAAAAUGUCCAGAAUUUAGUUUAUGUACUUUUGACAAAUUUUAAAAUUAGUCUGUACUAUUAGUUUAUUGCUAAUUUUUUUCCAAACAAAAAUGUAUAUUAACACUCGAUCUAUAAAUUUUAGAAACAUAUUCACAUUGUUAUAAAAAUUAUUCUUAUUAUUUAACAAAUUUCAAUAAUAUUUAGCUUCAAACUAUUAAUAAGGUCAAAUUUUAAGAUUUAUCGACAGUAUGACUAAAUUUGGACAUUUAAGAUUAUAGAGGAAGGGACCUAAAUUGUGUUUUAACCAAUAAUUUUUGUUUAUUUGCAUCCAAUUGUUGGAGCUUCUUGUUCAAUCUGUGCCUAGAGGAAACCCUUUGUAUUGACACAUUUUUUUUUUAAUAUAAUGGUAGUUGAAGAAGUUUUUCUUGU
Molecule: long non-coding RNA, 1209 nt
Organism: Benincasa hispida (wax gourd)
Lineage: Eukaryota; Viridiplantae; Streptophyta; Magnoliopsida; Cucurbitales; Cucurbitaceae
Source: RefSeq, a predicted model, not a curated record